GGGUGAGUAACACGUGAGUAACCUGCCCCUGACUCUGGGAUAAGCCCGGGAAACUGGGUCUAAUACCGGAUAUGACCAUGGGACGCAUGUCUUGUGGUGGAAAGAUUUAUCGGUUGGGGAUGGACUCGCGGCCUAUCAGCUUGUUGGUGAGGUAAUGGCUCACCAAGGCGACGACGGGUAGCCGGCCUGAGAGGGUGACCGGCCACACUGGGACUGAGACACGGCCCAGACUCCUACGGGAGGCAGCAGUGGGGAAUAUUGCACAAUGGGCGCAAGCCUGAUGCAGCGACGCCGCGUGAGGGAUGACGGCCUUCGGGUUGUAAACCUCUUUCAGUAGGGAAGAAGCGAGAGUGACGGUACCUGCAGAAGAAGCGCCGGCUAACUACGUGCCAGCAGCCGCGGUAAUACGUAGGGCGCAAGCGUUAUCCGGAUUUAUUGGGCGUAAAGAGCUCGUAGCGGUUUGUCG
RNAcentral lists this ribosomal RNA (466 nucleotides) under Arthrobacter sp. SW1-30. RNAcentral describes it as "bacterial SSU rRNA". It matches the Rfam family "Bacterial small subunit ribosomal RNA", at positions 104 to 585 of the family's 1533-position model. The record is from RNAcentral. Lineage: Bacteria; Bacillati; Actinomycetota; Actinomycetes; Micrococcales; Micrococcaceae.